RNAcentral lists this ribosomal RNA (433 nucleotides) under uncultured bacterium. RNAcentral's name for it is "partial 16S ribosomal RNA". It matches the Rfam family "Bacterial small subunit ribosomal RNA", at positions 29 to 507 of the family's 1533-position model. The record is from RNAcentral.
AACGAACGCUGGCGGCAUGCCUAACACAUGCAAGUCGAACGAGACCUUCGGGUCUAGUGGCGCACGGGUGCGUAACGCGUGGGAACCUGCCCUUAGGUUCGGAAUAACUCCCCGAAAGGGGUGCUAAUACCGGAUAAUGUCUUCGGACCAAAGAUUUAUCGCCUUUGGAUGGGCCCGCGUUGGAUUAGCUAGUUGGUAGGGUAAAAGCCUACCAAGGCGACGAUCCAUAGCUGGUCUGAGAGGAUGAUCAGCCACACUGGGACUGGGACACGGCCCAGACUCCUACGGGAGGCAGCAAUGGGGAAUAAUGGACAAUGGGCGAAAGCCUGAUCCAGCAAUGCCGCGUGAGUGAUGAAGGCCUUAGGGUUGUAAAGCUCUUUUACCCGGGAUGAUAAUGACAGUACCGGGAGAAUAAGCUCCGGCUAACUCCGUG